This 568-nucleotide ribosomal RNA is filed under the name uncultured bacterium. RNAcentral's name for it is "bacterial SSU rRNA". It matches the Rfam family "Bacterial small subunit ribosomal RNA", at positions 223 to 775 of the family's 1533-position model. The record is from RNAcentral.
GGAUGAAGCCCAAGUCGGAUUAGCUAGUUGUAGGGUAACGGCCCUCCCAAGGCAACGAUCCGUAGCUGGUCUGAGAGGACGAUCAAGCCACCACCGGGAACUUAAGACACGGGUCCGGACUUCCUACGGGAGGCAGCAGUGGGGGAAUAUUGGACAAUGGGCGCAAGCCUGAUCCAGCAAUGCCGCGUGUGUGAAGAAGGCCUGCGGGUUGUAAAGCACUUUCAGCAGGGAAGAACAGCGCAGGGCUAAUAUCCCUGUGUCCUGACGUCACCUGAAGAAGAAGCACCGGCUAACUCCGUGCCAGCAGCCGCGGUAAUACGGAGGGUGCGAGCGUUAAUCGGAAUUACUGGGCGUAAAGCGUACGUAGGUGGCCUCGUAAGUCGAAUGUGAAAGCCCCGGGCUUAACCUGGGAACUGCAUCCGAAACUGUGGGGCUAGAGUAAGGGAGAGGGAAGUGGAAUUUCCGGUGUAGCGGUGAAAUGCGUAGAUAUCGGAAGGAACACCAGUGGCGAAGGCGACUUCCUGGCCCAUUACUGACACUGAGGUACGAAAGCGUGGGGAGCAAACAG